AGAGUUUGAUCCUGGCUCAGAACGUACGCUGGCGGCACGCCUAACACAUGCAAGUCGAACGCAGUAGCAAUACUGAGUGGCAAACGGGUGAGUAUAAUGUGGGAAUCUGCCUUUUGGUUUGGAAUAACACGGGGAAACUUGUGCUAAUACCGAAUAAGCCCUUACGGGGAAAGUUUUAACGCCGAAAGAUGAGCCCGCACUUGAUUAGCUAGUUGGUAAGGUAAAAGCUUACCAAGGCAACGAUCAAUAGCUGUUCUUAGAGGAAGACCAGCCACAUUGGGACUGAGACACGGCCCAGACUCCUACGGGAGGCAGCAGUGGGGAAUCUUGCACAAUGGGGGAAACCCUGAUGCAGCGAUGCCGCGUGAGUGAAGAAGGCCCUUGGGUUGUAAAACUCUUUCGUCGGGGAAGAAAAUGACUGUACCCGAAUAAGAAGGUCCGGCUAACUUCGUGCCAGCAGCCGCGGUAAUACGAAGGGACCUAGCGUAGUUCGGAAUUACUGGGCUUAAAAAGCUCGUAGGUGGUUAAAAAAGUUGAUGGUGAAAUCCCAAGGCUCAACCUUGGAACUGCCAUCAAAACUUUUUAGCUAGAGUGUGAUAGAGGUAAGUGGAAUUUCUAGUGUAGAGGUGAAAUUCGUAGAUAUUAGAAAGAACACCAAAUGCGAAGGCAACUUACUGGGUCACUACUGACACUGAGGAGCGAAAGCAUGGGUAGCGAAGAGGAUUAGAUACCCUCGUAGUCCAUGCCGUAAACGAUGAGUGCUAGACGUUGGAAAUAUAUUUUUCAGUGUCGCAGCGAAAGCAUUAAGCACUCCGCCUGGGGAGUACGACCGCAAGGUUAAAACUCAAAUGAAUUGACGGGGACCCGCACAAGCAGUGGAGCAUGUGGUUUAAUUCGAAGAUACGCGCAGAACCUUACCAACGCUUGACAUGUUCGUCGCGAGACUAAGAGAUUAGUUUCUUCAGUUCGGCUGGACGAAACACAGGUGCUGCAUGGCUGUCGUCAGCUCGUGUCGUGAGA
RNAcentral lists this ribosomal RNA (1020 nucleotides) under uncultured Alphaproteobacteria bacterium. RNAcentral describes it as "bacterial SSU rRNA". It matches the Rfam family "Bacterial small subunit ribosomal RNA", at positions 8 to 1072 of the family's 1533-position model. Lineage: Bacteria; Pseudomonadati; Pseudomonadota; Alphaproteobacteria. The record is from RNAcentral.